This is a non-coding RNA of Hydra vulgaris (swiftwater hydra), 255 nucleotides long. Lineage: Eukaryota; Metazoa; Cnidaria; Hydrozoa; Anthoathecata; Hydridae. The record is from RefSeq and is a predicted model, not a curated record.
GCCAGUGAAACGAACGAUAGAAAAAAAGAAGCAUUCAACUAUUUACCGUUUAACUCCUGUCCCAAUCUAAGUGUGGGUUCAAAAAGAAGGGACCGCGCUGGAAACAUGAGUGGAUUAAAAGGAUCAGCCUUUUUUGAAUUAAUAGUCGAAGUGGUAACCAGCUAGAAGUCGUAACCUGCUCGUAUGAAAGGAUUUCUCGACGUGAAGUUGUUAAUUUUAUUCAACAACGCCAAGAAACAGAGGUCGCUCAAGAAA